UGAGAACAGUAAUGUGCUAAAAAACAUGGUCACUUUUUCAUUGGAGUAGCACCAUAAUGGUUCUAUUCCAAAAAGUGACCAUGCUUUUUUUAGCACAUUACUGUUCUCAAGU
This 112-nucleotide microRNA precursor is filed under the name Phlebotomus papatasi. RNAcentral's name for it is "microRNA mir-286". Lineage: Eukaryota; Metazoa; Arthropoda; Insecta; Diptera; Psychodidae. The record is from RNAcentral.